GACGAACGCUGGCGGCGUGCUUAACACAUGCAAGUCGAACGGAAAGGCCCUGCUCUUGUGGGGUGCUCGUGUGGCGAACGGGUGAGUAACACGUGAGUAACCUGCCCUUGACUUUGGGAUAACUUCAGGGAACUGGGGCUAAUACCGGAUAGGAGCUCCUGCUGCACGGUGGGGGUUGGAAAGUUUCGGCGGUUGGGGAUGGACUCGCGGCUUAUCAGCUUGUUGGUGGGGUAGUGGCUUACCAAGGCUUUGACGGGUAGCCGGCCUGAGAGGGUGACCGGCCACAUUGGGACUGGGGUACGGCCCAGACUCCUACGGGAGGCAGCAGUGGGGAAUAUUGCACAAUGGGCGGAAGCCUGAUGCAGCAACGCCGCGUGCGGGAUGACGGCCUUCGGGUUGUAAACCGCUUUCGCCUGUGACGAAGCGUGAGUGACGGUAAUGGGUAAAGAAGCACCGGCUAACUACGUG
This 468-nucleotide ribosomal RNA is filed under the name uncultured bacterium. Its description in RNAcentral is "partial 16S ribosomal RNA". It matches the Rfam family "Bacterial small subunit ribosomal RNA", at positions 28 to 507 of the family's 1533-position model. The record is from RNAcentral.